GCAUAUCAAUAAGCGGAGGAAAAGAAACUUAACAAGGAUUCCCCUAGUAACGGCGAGUGAACCGGGAAGAGCUCAAAUUUGAAAUCUGGCGUCCUCAGGGCGUCCGAGUUGUAAUCUAUAGAGGCGUUUUCCGUGCCGGACCGUGUCCAAGUUCCUUGGAACAGGAUAUCAAAGAGGGUGACAAUCCCGUACUUGACACGACGACCGGUGCUCUGUGAUACGUCUUCUACGAGUCGAGUUGUUUGGGAAUGCAGCUCAAAAUGGGUGGUGAGUUCCAUCUAAAGCUAAAUAUUGGCGAGAGACCGAUAGCGAACAAGUACCGUGAGGGAAAGAUGAAAAGCACUUUGGAAAGAGAGUUAAACAGUACGUGAAAUUGUUGAAAGGGAAACGAUUGAAGUCAGUCGUGACCGAGAGGCUCAGCCGGUUCUGCCGGUGUAUUCCCCUCGGUCGGGUCAACAUCAGUUUUGUCCGGUGGAUAAGGGCGGUAGGAAGGUGGCACCCUCGGGUGUGUUAUAGCCUGCCGUCGCAUACAUCGGGUGAGACUGAGGAACGCAGCUCGCCUUUAUGGCCGGGGUUCGCCCACGUCCGAGCUUAGGAUGUUGACAUAAUG
This 610-nucleotide ribosomal RNA is filed under the name Papiliotrema laurentii. RNAcentral describes it as "eukaryotic LSU rRNA". It matches the Rfam family "Eukaryotic large subunit ribosomal RNA", at positions 38 to 636 of the family's 3401-position model. The record is from RNAcentral. Lineage: Eukaryota; Fungi; Basidiomycota; Tremellomycetes; Tremellales; Rhynchogastremaceae.